GGAAGGAUCAUUAACACAAUAUCCAUUAACCUUGUGUGCACUGUAAUGUUUUUUAACGUUUACUCGAAUUAACUAGUCCUAGAAAUAGGAUACAAACUAAUCAAAACAACUGCUAGCAACGGAUGUCUUGGUUCUCGCAACGAUGAAGAACGCAGCAAAUUGCGAUAAGUAAUGUGAAUCGUAAGAUUCAGUGAAUCAUCAAAUCUUUGAACGCAAACGGCGCUCCUUGGUAUUCCGGGGAGCAUACCUGUUUGAGCAUCAAUAUUAAACUCAUAUCCUUUUGGGUAUGGUGAAUGAGCGUCAUGCAUUGCAUGUUGCUUGAAAUGAAUUGCAGAGUCAACCAACCAAUGGUGAGGACCUAGUCCAGCUGUUGGAUCUGGUGAAGCUCAAAGAUACCAAAUUUGAUCUCAAAUCAGGUAAGAUUACCCGCUGAAUUGAAGCAUCUCAUUAAGCGGAGGAAAAGAAACUAACAAGGAUUCCCUUAGUAAUGGCGAAUGAACAGGGAAGAGCUCAAACUUAAAAUCUGGGAGGUCUCCUCCCCGAAUUGUAGUCUAGAGAAGCGUUACCGGAGGCUGUCUUACGUCCAAGUCCUUUGGAAAGGGGCAUCAGAGAGGGUGACAAUCCCGUAUCUGGCGUGAGAACAGUUUCCAUACGGAGCGCUCUCCACGAGUCGAGUUGUUUGGGAAUGCAGCUCUAAAUGGGUGGUAAAUUCCAUCUAAAGCUAAAUACCGGCGAGAGACCGAUAGCGAACAAGUACCGUGAGGGAAAGAUGAAAAGAACUUUGAAAAGAGAGUGAAAAGUGCCUGAAAUUGCUAGCAUGGAAUCGAUUGAAACUGGUGAUCUGUGGGAGGGAUUUGGUAGUGACUUCCGUUCUGCGGAUUUGCUGCUUACUUCCCUUCUCAUAGAAGUCAACUCCCGUUACCGGCUCAGUUAUCGAUUGUGGGGAAGGUAGGUAGGUGCUUUCGGGUAUCUGCUGUUAUAGCUCCAUAGAUUGUGCUGGGAAGGAGACGAGGUCGUUGGUGCUAUAUCGGGGCUGGGUGCUGGUGCAUGCAUUGCGUGGGACUGCUUGCAGUGUCGUGUAGUGUGUGUAUCACCGUUUGGUUCAGAUGUGGUGCUGCUGUUGACGUAACGGUUUUAACCGUCCCGUCUUGAAACACGGACCAAGGAGUCUAACAUAUAUGCGAGUAUUGUGGUGGUAAACCAACAAUGCGCAAUGAAAGUAAAGGCCGCAAGGCUGAGGUGUGAGCCCGCAAGGGUGCAACAUCGACCGAUCUGGAGGUUUUCUGAAAGAUUUGAGUAAGAGCAUAUACGUUGGGACCCGAAAGAUGGUGAACUAUGCCUGAAUAGGACGAAGCCAGAGGAAACUCUGGUGGAGGUCCGAAGCGGUUUUGACGUGCAAAUCAAUCGUCAAAUUUGGGUAUAGGGGCGAAAGACUAAUCGAACCAUCUAGUCGCUGGUUCCCUC
RNAcentral lists this unclassified non-coding RNA (1464 nucleotides) under uncultured fungus. RNAcentral's name for it is "sequence contains 18S rRNA gene, ITS1, 5.8S rRNA gene, ITS2, 28S rRNA gene". The stretch from base 403 to 1464 matches the Rfam family "Eukaryotic large subunit ribosomal RNA", at positions 1 to 961 of the family's 3401-position model. Lineage: Eukaryota; Fungi. The record is from RNAcentral.